RNAcentral lists this ribosomal RNA (253 nucleotides) under uncultured bacterium. RNAcentral's name for it is "partial 16S ribosomal RNA". It matches the Rfam family "Bacterial small subunit ribosomal RNA", at positions 524 to 776 of the family's 1533-position model. The record is from RNAcentral.
UACGUAGGGUGCAAGCGUUGUCCGGAAUUAUUGGGCGUAAAGAGCUCGUAGGCGGUCUGUCGCGUCGGCUGUGAAAACUCGGGGCUCAACCCCGAGCCUGCAGUCGAUACGGGCAGAUUAGAGUGCUGUAGGGGAGACUGGAAUUCCGGGUGUAGUGGUGGAAUGCGUAGAGAUCCGGAGGAACACCAGCGGCGAAGGCGGCAUCCUGGACUGGUCCUGACACUCAUGAGCGAAAGCGUGGGGAGCGAUCCGG